CGAACCGUCCAAACGUUAUUCGGAAUUACUGGGCUUAAAGGGUAUGUAGGCGGCGCUGUUAGUCGGGUGUGAAAUCCCUCGGCUCAACCGAGGAAUUGCGCCCGAUACUGCAGUGCUUGAGGGAGACAGAGGUAAGCGGAACUGAUGGUGGAGCGGUGAAAUGCGUUGAUAUCAUCAGGAACAUCGGUGGCGAAAGCGGCUUACUGGGUCUCUUCUGACGCUGAGAUACGAAAGCUAGGGGAGCGAAGGGGAUUAGAUACCCCCGUAGUCCUAGCUGUAAACGUUGAGCACUUGAUCGAGGGCCCCCCCAUAGGCUCCCGGUCGUAGCGAAAGUGUUAAGUGCUCCGCCUGGGGAGUAAGGUCGCAAGGCUG
This 372-nucleotide ribosomal RNA is filed under the name uncultured organism. RNAcentral describes it as "bacterial SSU rRNA". It matches the Rfam family "Bacterial small subunit ribosomal RNA", at positions 526 to 896 of the family's 1533-position model. The record is from RNAcentral.